This 253-nucleotide ribosomal RNA is filed under the name uncultured bacterium. RNAcentral's name for it is "partial 16S ribosomal RNA". It matches the Rfam family "Bacterial small subunit ribosomal RNA", at positions 524 to 776 of the family's 1533-position model. The record is from RNAcentral.
UACGUAGGGUGCAAGCGUUAUCCGGAAUUAUUGGGCGUAAAGAGCUCGUAGGCGGUUUGUCGCGUCUGCUGUGAAAACCGGAGGCUCAACCUCCGGCCUGCAGUGGGUACGGGCAAACUAGAGUGCGGUAGGGGAGAUUGGAAUUCCUGGUGUAGCGGUGGAAUGCGCAGAUAUCAGGAGGAACACCGAUGGCGAAGGCAGAUCUCUGGGCCGUAACUGACGCUGGGGAGCGAAAGCGUGGGGAGCGAACAGG